RNAcentral lists this ribosomal RNA (473 nucleotides) under uncultured bacterium. RNAcentral describes it as "bacterial SSU rRNA". It matches the Rfam family "Bacterial small subunit ribosomal RNA", at positions 355 to 825 of the family's 1533-position model. The record is from RNAcentral.
UGGGGAAUAUUGCGCAAUGGGCGAAAGCCUGACGCAGCAACGCCGCGUGAGUGAUGAAGGCCUUCGGGUCGUAAAGCUCUGUCGGAGGGAACGAAUGCUCCUGAAGUUAACAGCCUCAGGAGGUGACGGUACCCUCAAAGGAAGCACCGGCUAACUCUGUGCCAGCAGCCGCGGUAAUACAGAGGGUGCAAGCGUUGUUCGGAAUCAUUGGGCGUAAAGGGCGUGUAGGCGGUAUGUUAAGUCAUGUGUGAAAUCCCUCGGCUCAACCGGGGAACAGCAGGGCAUACUGCGGGUCUUGAGGCAGGUAGGGGUCGCGAGAACAGUAGGUGGAGCGGUGAAAUGCGUAGAUAUCUACUGGAAUGCCGAUGGUGAAGACGCGCGACUGGGCCUGUCCUGACGCUGAGGCACGAAAGCGUGGGGAGCAAACAGGAUUAGAUACCCCCGUAGUCCCUGAGCGGGCUGGCAAGGCGCAU